GAUGCGUUCCAUUAGGCAGUUGGUGAGGUAACGGCUCACCAAACCUUCGAUGGAUAGGGGUUCUGAGAGGAAGGUCCCCCACAUUGGAACUGAGACACGGUCCAAACUCCUACGGGAGGCAGCAGUGAGGAAUAUUGGUCAAUGGGCGCAGGCCUGAACCAGCCAAGUAGCGUGAAGGAUGACUGCCCUAUGGGUUGUAAACUUCUUUUAUAUGGGAAUAAAGUUUUCCACGUGUGGAAUUUUGUAUGUACCAUAUGAAUAAGGAUCGGCUAACUCCGUGCCAGCAGCCGCGGUAAUACGGAGGAUCCGAGCGUUAUCCGGAUUUAUUGGGUUUAAAGGGAGCGUAGGUGGACAGUUAAGUCAGUUGUGAAAGUUUGCGGCUCAACCGUAAAAUUGCAGUUGAUACUGGCUGUCUUGAGUACAGUAGAGGUGGGCGGAAUUCGUGGUGUAGCGGUGAAAUGCUUAGAUAUCACGAAGAACUCCGAUUGCGAAGGCAGCUCACUGGACUGCAACUGACACUGAUGCUCGAAAGUGUGGGUAUCAAACAGGAUUAGAUACCCUGGUAGUCCACACAGUAAACGAUGAAUACUCGCUGUUUGCGAUAUACAGUAAGCGGCCAAGCGAAAGCAUUAAGUAUUCCACCUGGGGAGUACGCCGGCAACGGUGAAACUCAAAGGAAUUGACGGGGGCCCGCACAAGCGGAGGAACAUGUGGUUUAAUUCGAUGAUACGCGAGGAACCUUACCCGGGCUUAAAUUGCAUUUGAAUAUAUUGGAAACAGUAUAGCCGUAAGGCAAAUGUGAAGGUGCUGCAUGGUUGUCGUCAGCUCGUGCCGUGAGGUGUCGGCUUAAGUGCCAUAACGAGCGCAACCCUUAUCUUUAGUUACUAACAGGUCAUGCUGAGGACUCUAGAGAGACUGCCGUCGUAAGAUGUGAGGAAGGUGGGGAUGACGUCAAAUCAGCACGGCCCUUACGUCCGGGGCUACACACGUGUUACAAUGGGGGGUACAGAAGGCAGCUACCUGGUGACAGGAUGCUAAUCCCAAAAGCCUCUCUCAGUUCGGAUCGAAGUCUGCAACCCGACUUCGUGAAGCUG
This 1094-nucleotide ribosomal RNA is filed under the name Bacteroides thetaiotaomicron. RNAcentral describes it as "bacterial SSU rRNA". It matches the Rfam family "Bacterial small subunit ribosomal RNA", at positions 230 to 1328 of the family's 1533-position model. The record is from RNAcentral. Lineage: Bacteria; Pseudomonadati; Bacteroidota; Bacteroidia; Bacteroidales; Bacteroidaceae.